This is a long non-coding RNA of Mirounga angustirostris (Northern elephant seal), 548 nucleotides long. RefSeq lists it as uncharacterized. The transcript has 2 exons. Lineage: Eukaryota; Metazoa; Chordata; Mammalia; Carnivora; Phocidae. The record is from RefSeq and is a predicted model, not a curated record.
AAACUGCCCACUGCAGACAAAGGAUAAGAGGUUACAGGUCAUUUACACAUUUCUUUAUUGCUCCCUACAAAACCCAGGAUUUGAGCACGGAUGUGGCAAGGAUGUGGCAUGGUACGAGCAAGGAGGGGCCACGGAAUGGGAUCCUGCACUUCUGAGGAAGCUGACUCCACACCCCACCUACAGAUAUGUAUCUUGUGACCUAGGCUAAGCCAAUCAGUGUACUGUAUCUUCCUGGCUCCAGUGACAGGCACAUGACCUAAGUAAGACCUUUUGGAGAAUGCAGAGACAAAGACCUUUUCUGAGACUCUUCUCUCUUCUGGAUGUGAACACUUAACUACAUGACCCCAGUCACUGCUUCCAGCCAUCGUGGGACCAGGGGGAGGUCCACUCUUGGUUUAAAGCCAACCAUUGCAGAGGCAGAGCCAGUAGAAGAAAAGGAACCAGGUUUGUGGUAACACUGUGAAAUGGCUGGAUCAACCCUAGCCUGAAAGCCAUCUGCCUUUGGAUUUUUCAGCAACAGAAGCCAAUAAAUUCCCUUUACUGCUAAA